AUUGAACGCUGGCGGCAUGCCUUACACAUGCAAGUCGAACGGUAACGGGCCUUCGGGUGCCGACGAGUGGCGAACGGGUGAGUAAUACAUCGGAACGUGCCCGAUCGUGGGGGAUAACGAGGCGAAAGCUUUGCUAAUACCGCAUACGAUCUACGGAUGAAAGCAGGGGACCGCAAGGCCUUGCGCGGACGGAGCGGCCGAUGGCAGAUUAGGUAGUUGGUGGGAUAAAAGCUUACCAAGCCGACGAUCUGUAGCUGGUCUGAGAGGAUGAUCCGCCACACUGGGACUGAGGCACGGCCCAGACUCCUACGGGAGGCAGCAGUGGGGAAUUUUGGACAAUGGGCGCAAGCCUGAUCCAGCCAUGCCGCGUGCAGGAUGAAGGCCUUCGGGUUGUAAACUGCUUUUGUACGGAACGAAAAGCCUUCUUUUAAUACAGGAGGGUCAUGACGGUACCGUAAGAAUAAGCACCGGCUAACUACGUG
RNAcentral lists this ribosomal RNA (482 nucleotides) under uncultured bacterium. RNAcentral describes it as "partial 16S ribosomal RNA". It matches the Rfam family "Bacterial small subunit ribosomal RNA", at positions 30 to 507 of the family's 1533-position model. The record is from RNAcentral.